Molecule: ribosomal RNA, 254 nt
Filed under: uncultured bacterium
Lineage: Bacteria
Description: partial 16S ribosomal RNA
Rfam family: Bacterial small subunit ribosomal RNA
Source: RNAcentral
UACAGAGGUCUCAAGCGUUGUUCGGAUUCAUUGGGCGUAAAGGGUGCGUAGGCGGUGUGUCGCGUCGGCCGUGAAAACCUGCAGCUUAACUGUGGGCUUGCGGUCGAUACGGGCAUCACUGGAGUUCGGCAGGGGAGACUGGAAUUCCUGGUGUAGCGGUGAAAUGCGCAGAUAUCAGGAGGAACACCGGUGGCGAAGGCGGGACUCUGGGCCGAUACUGACGCUGAGGAGCGAAAGCGUGGGGAGCAAACAGG